This is a long non-coding RNA of Xiphophorus maculatus (southern platyfish), 336 nucleotides long. RefSeq lists it as uncharacterized. The record is from RefSeq and is a predicted model, not a curated record. The transcript has 3 exons. Lineage: Eukaryota; Metazoa; Chordata; Actinopteri; Cyprinodontiformes; Poeciliidae.
CCUGAAAGCUGUUGACUUCAAGCUAUGGCUGAUAAAACAGAUGCUUCUAUUGCUGGGAAAGGCCAGAGCAACAAUGCUUCAGAGCUGAGGAUUGUGUUGAUAGGAGGAAGAGAAUUAAAUGGAAUCUGCAGUGGCAGAAGCUCAGCUGCCUUGAGGCACUUUACAAAAUAAAAAUCCUGCUUGUACUCUACAUUGAGCCAGACCAACUUAAGUGGCUCCUGUUGUCUGGACACUCCAUGCGAUGUACGGGAUUUGCAGUUUCAUCCGCUGAGCUCCCUGACGAGUUACGCCCACCUACCAGCUGUUCGAUCACACUGAUCCGCUCCUGAUCAGACG